This 381-nucleotide ribosomal RNA is filed under the name uncultured spirochete. Its description in RNAcentral is "bacterial SSU rRNA". It matches the Rfam family "Bacterial small subunit ribosomal RNA", at positions 9 to 407 of the family's 1533-position model. The record is from RNAcentral. Lineage: Bacteria; Pseudomonadati; Spirochaetota; Spirochaetia; Spirochaetales.
GAGUUUGAUCGUGGCUCAGAACGAACGCUGGCGGCGCGUCUUAAACAUGCAAGUCGAACGAUCUGUAGCAAUACAGGGAGUGGCGGACGGGUGAGGAACACGUAGGAAUCUACCUAGAAGAGCGGGACAACCUUGGGAAACCGGGGCUAAUACCGCAUAGUACAGUGAUGUUAAAGGGCUAGCAAUAGUCGCUUCUAGAUGAGCCUGCGGUCUAUCAGCUUGCUGGCGGGGUAACGGCCCACCAAGGCGACGACGGAUAGCCGGUCUGAGAGGAUGAUCGGCCACACUGGCACUGAGACACGGGCCAGACUCCUACGGGAGGCAGCAGUUAAGAAUCUUGCGCAAUGGACGAAAGUCUGACGCAGCCACGCCGCGUGAGUG